AAUCUGAACCAGCCAAGUAGCGUGCAGGAUGACGGCCCUAUGGGUUGUAAACUGCUUUUAUGUGAGAAUAAAGUUAGGUAUGUAUACUUAUUUGCAUGUAUCACAUGAAUAAGGACCGGCUAAUUCCGUGCCAGCAGCCGCGGUAAUACGGAAGGUCCAGGCGUUAUCCGGAUUUAUUGGGUUUAAAGGGUGCGUAGGCCGUUUGAUAAGCGUGCUGUGAAAUAUAGUGGCUCAACCUCUAUCGUGCAGCGCGAACUGUUGAACUUGAGUGCGUAGUAGGUAGGCGGAAUUCGUGGUGUAGCGGUGAAAUGCUUAGAUAUCACGAAGAACUCCGAUUGCGAAGGCAGCUUACCGUAACGUUACUGACGCUUAAGCACGAAGGUGCGGGUAUCGAACAGGAUUAGAUACCCUGGUAGUCCGCACAGUAAACGAUGGAUGCUCGCUGUUGGCCUAUUGUGGUCAGUGGCUUAGCGAAAGCGUUAAGCAUCCCACCUGGGGAGUACGCCGGCAACGGUGAAACUCAAAGGAAUUGACGGGGGCCCGCACAAGCGGAGGAACAUGUGGUUUAAUUCGAUGAUACGCGAGGAACCUUACCCGGGCUUGAACUGCAGCUGAACGAUUCAGAGAUGAUGAGGCCCUUCGGGGCAGCUGUGGAGGUGCUGCAUGGUUGUCGUCAGCUCGUGCCGUGAGGUGUCGGCUUAAGUGCCAUAACGAGCGCAACCCCUUUUCUUAGUUGCCAUCAGGUAAUGCUGGGCACUCUGGGAAUACUGCCACCGUAAGGUGUGAGGAAGGUGGGGAUGACGUCAAAUCAGCACGGCCCUUACGUCCGGGGCUACACACGUGUUACAAUGGCGCAUACAGAGUGUUGGUUUCAUGCAAAUGAGAUCUAAUCUUCAAAGUGCGUCUCAGUUCGGACUGGGGUCUGCAACCCGACCCCACGAAGCUGGAUUCGCUAGUAAUCGCGCAUCAGCCAUGGCGCGGUGAAUACGUUCCCGGGCCUUGUACACACCGCCCGUCAAGCCAUGAAAGCCGGGGGCGCCUAAAGUCCGUGACCGCAAGGGUCGGCCUAGGGUGAAACUGGUGAUUGGGGCUAAGUCGUAACAAGGUAGCCGUACCGGAA
This 1120-nucleotide ribosomal RNA is filed under the name metagenome. RNAcentral's name for it is "bacterial SSU rRNA". It matches the Rfam family "Bacterial small subunit ribosomal RNA", at positions 380 to 1510 of the family's 1533-position model. The record is from RNAcentral.